GACGAACGCUGGCGGCGUGCUUAACACAUGCAAGUCGAACGAAGAGCGAUGGAAGCUUGCUUCUAUCAAUCUUAGUGGCGAACGGGUGAGUAACGCGUAAUCAACCUGCCCUUCAGAGGGGGACAACAGUUGGAAACGACUGCUAAUACCGCAUACGAUCUAAUCUCGGCAUCGAGGAUAGAUGAAAGGUGGCCUCUACAUGUAAGCUAUCACUGAAGGAGGGGAUUGCGUCUGAUUAGCUAGUUGGAGGGGUAACGGCCCACCAAGGCGAUGAUCAGUAGCCGGUCUGAGAGGAUGAACGGCCACAUUGGGACUGAGACACGGCCCAGACUCCUACGGGAGGCAGCAGUGGGGAAUCUUCCGCAAUGGACGAAAGUCUGACGGAGCAACGCCGCGCGAGCGAUGACGGCCUUCGGGUUGUAAAGCUCUGUUAAUCGGGACGAAAGGCCUUCUUGCGAAUAGUGAGAAGGAUUGACGGUACCGGAAUAGAAAGCCACGGCUAACUACGU
RNAcentral lists this ribosomal RNA (509 nucleotides) under uncultured bacterium. RNAcentral describes it as "partial 16S ribosomal RNA". It matches the Rfam family "Bacterial small subunit ribosomal RNA", at positions 28 to 506 of the family's 1533-position model. The record is from RNAcentral.